Molecule: ribosomal RNA, 232 nt
Filed under: uncultured bacterium
Lineage: Bacteria
Description: partial 16S ribosomal RNA
Rfam family: Bacterial small subunit ribosomal RNA
Source: RNAcentral
UGAGCAAUCUGCCCUUCUCAUCGGAAUAAGCGUUGGAAACGACGUCUAAUGCCGAAUAUGACCUCCUUUCGCGUGAUCGGAGGUGGAAAGCUCCGGCGGAGAAGGAUGAGCUCGCGGCCUAUCAGCUAGUUGGUGUGGGUAAUGGCCCACCAAGGCGACGACGGGUAGCCGGCCUGAGAGGGUGACCGGCCACACUGGAACUGAGACACGGCCCAGACUCCUACGGGAGCAG